RNAcentral lists this ribosomal RNA (1464 nucleotides) under Triticum aestivum (bread wheat). RNAcentral's name for it is "partial small subunit ribosomal RNA". The record is from RNAcentral. Lineage: Eukaryota; Viridiplantae; Streptophyta; Magnoliopsida; Poales; Poaceae.
AUGGCGCCCGUGCAUCGGCGACCUGGAGAUCCUCCUCCACGAUACGGAGCACAAGAGGAGGUUUUUACCGUAGAAAUCAACUAUGGUGGAUUUUUCUGCGAAUUUGGCCGAUCGAAGACGUAUGUCGAUGGUAAAGUUGCUCUGUUCGAUGGUUGCGAAGUAGAUACAUGGUCUCCUCUCUGGCUCACUGAUUUUAUGCAGCAACUGGGAUAUAGUGACCAAUCUAAGCAUGUUAUUUACUGGUUACUGCCUGGAAAGAAUUUAGCCGACGGACUGCGGAUUGUGGACUGUGACACUGACACUUUGCACAUGACAGCAGUUGUUCCAAAAUUCCAGUUGUUUCAGUUGUUUGUUGAUCACAAAGAUAUGGCCUUUGACAAUGUAAUGGAUGAUAUUCAUGUUAGUGGUACACCUGAGCUACCUCUUGUACUAAGCCCUAAAUCUCAUGGGUUUAGCAGUGGAAUAAGAGGAAGUCCCAGGUUUAAGGUGAAAGCUCACAAAGGCAGACUGAACCAAUGUCAUGCAGGCAGCAGCAAUGAAGGGAGUAGCAGUGUUCCACCAGUGGGACUAAAUGUUGGACAUGAGCUUAGAAGAAGCAGGAGGAAACUUGUGGUAGAAGAAGAAAUCCCCAAUGAAAAUGACAGUGACAGUGAUAGUGAUGACAGUGAAUGGGAUUCAGACUGGGUAGACUCUGACAAUGAAGUAGGCAAAGAUGAUGAUGAUCUAUAUGAAGAAUGGGUUGAUGAAAAAUUUGAGAAAAAAAAAAAGAAGAAAUCUGAAUGGGAGCAGGACAGUGACUAUGAUACAGAUGAACUGCAGGAGCUACAAGGUUCAGAGCUUGAAGAUAGUGAUUCAGCAGAGGAAGUGGAAGUAGUAGAUGCACAAGGAAGGAACAAAAUGAAAAAGAAAGUGAAGCUGAAAAGGUGGAGGCCUGAGAACAUGAAAGAAGUCAAUUUUCACAUAGGCAUGGUGUUCUUGUCUGUCAUUGAACUAAGAGUAGCAAUUCAGGAGUACAUUGUGAAGCAAAGAGUGCAAAUUCAUUACAUAAAGAAUGAUAAGCAGAGGAUAAGGGCAGGUUGUGUUGGAGAUUGUCCCUGGUUCUUAUUUGCUGCACCUGACAGCAGGACCAAAGCAUGGGUUGUGAAGAAGUAUGUGGGUGAGCAUACAUGUGAAAGAGAGUGGGCACUGAAGCAAUUUACAGCAAGAUAUUGUGUGAGGCAUCUGCAUCAAAACUUUGCAAAAAACUGGAAAGGUGAUGUAUUCAAGAAUAAAUUGUGGCAAAUUGCAAGAGCUACACAUGAGGCAGACUGGAAGAAGUACAUGCAAGAGAUGAAAGAGUUGGACCAGGGGGCCUAUGAGUACUUGGAUGCAAUUGACCCAAGGCAGUGGUGCAAGGCCUAUUUCCAUGAACUCCCAAAGUGUGAUUUGCUUCUUAACAACAGCUGUGAAGUGUUCAACAAGUAA